Long non-coding RNA from Cyprinus carpio (common carp), 7236 nucleotides. The record is from Ensembl. NCBI's taxonomy places the organism in Eukaryota, Metazoa, Chordata, Actinopteri, Cypriniformes, Cyprinidae.
AUGGAACGCUGGGUUCUAGAAGGUGAUAGCUACUCUUUUCUUCGCAGUGCUCCACACACGUUCAACCUGCAGAGUCAUGAAGGGCCAAAUCGUGUGGAGAUCUUUGAUAUCACUUCCAUCCCCAGCCAUCAUAAUGCCAUAUCUGAAACAACCUGCCUGUGUGACAUUUUUGGGGAUGACGGCGAGUCUCCGUCACUUUCCAGUAGCCCAGCCUCUGCCGCAUUUAUCAGGAGGGAAGUGGAUCAGUCUUUUCCAGUAGAUGAUACCAAUGACUCUUUAGGAUCUUACCACACUGCCAAUGGAUCCGACUUAAGCGACAAUGCUGAAGUCACUUACAACACACCUUCUCCAGAAAAUACACCAGAUUUUUCCACAUCUGAGACCAGGGAAUCACGUUCACCACCAACUAAAUCACCCAUCUUGUCUGAUACCAAAAAUAGACUUAACCAAUUAGAGUGCACACCACCUGCAUCCAAAGUCAAUAGUAGUGACCUUUCACAUACAGAUAACUGGGAAGAAUCCCAAGUGUCAGUAAUCACUGCCCCAGUGAAUGAAACGGCAAUCACAAAUGCAUCUGAACCACAGUAUGUGAAUUCAACACCAGCUACCACCCUGAUUAAUCCGGCAAAGAAACCUUCUAAUCCUACAUCCUGCUCUUCAGAAGAGAAAGAACCUGCUGUUUUUGAGCAAGAAGGAAUUAUUAAAACACCUCAACAUACAAGCACAAGCCCAUUUUUAGAUAAACAAAUAUUUGAGUCAGACUGUGAAUCUUUGGCAGUAUCUCCACUUAAACAAAAUGUUGUGAUGUCUUCUGAGGACAAAGUGAGUAUGAUCUAUUGUAGUCCACGAGAGCAAAACAUUCUCUUUGUGCAAGGGACGAUGAACAGUGGCUCUGCAUCAGAACUGUCAAACCCUUCUCCAACAGAUUGCAGCCUUAUGCAGGAAAUGUUUACUUCAUCUUCAUCCAUAACCAGUGUCAUGCCAGAACCCAGAUUAACCUCCACCUCGCCUGUAAGCAAGGAAACUACCUCCACACCUGCAUCCACCGGUAGAUCUUCACCUGAGCUGCUGAAUUUGUGUCCAACUCAAGUUAGGAACACAUCAGAGACUCCAGACUUGGAGGACAAUUAUGGUGCUACUUUAUCUGUAUCUACACUGCCUACCAGUGAUAAUGGGAAAAUAGAUUCCCUAUCUGUGUCUGACAUUUCUACUGAAACAAGAGGACUGGUAUACUCAUCCAAAGAUAGAAGAGAAAGACUGGAAUCACCUGAGAUCAAUGAAACCUGCUCUUCUCCUGAUCACUCAGCACCUGGUCACUCACAAGAACCAGUACUGAUUCACUCCCCUGUAGGUUACACCAUCAGUCCAUCACCUACAUAUGAGAAAAUAUCUUCUUCAGUCCAACCUGAAGACUCACCAUCCUCCCCUGUAUCACCUGAGAUCAAUGAAACCUGCUCUUCUCCUCAUCACUCAGCAUCUGCUCACUCGCCAGAACAAGUAAUGAUUCACUCCCCUGUGGGUUACACCAUCAGCCCAUCAUCUACAAAUGAGAGAAUCGUUUCUUCGACUGAACCUGAAGACUCACCAUCCUUCCCUGUAGUCACAAGGAUUGAAUACAGGGAUAUUUGCUCUUCUCCUGAUCACUCAGAACCAGUAAUCAUUCACUCGUCUCCGUGUUACAACAUCAGUCCAUCACCUACAAAUGAGAGACGGGUUUAUUCAACUGAACCUGAUGCCUCAACAUCUUCCCCCUGCGGUCGCAGUGAUAUGCACUCCUCUACUGAUCACUCUAUUCCAGCUCACUCACAAGAACCUGAAAUUAUUCACUCACCAAAGGGUUAUACUAUCACCCCAUCACCUACAAAUAAGAGAAUGUUUUUUUCAGUGGAACCUAAUGAUCUACCAUCCUCUCCUGCCAUCACAGGAACUGAUUACACAGCAACACCUACAUACAGUAGAGAUUCCACACCUGCGUUAAGGAGCAUUACCUCUACUCCAAACAGCAGAGAAAAUUACCUUACACCAGAGCCCAAUUCCCCAGCCCCUUCACUGGAAUUGAGAUCAGUUACCUGCUCACCUGAAAUCAAAACAAUAUCAUAUAGUGUUCUGCCACAAAAUACAAAAUCCCCAGGCAUCACAUAUAACGUUACACCAACCAAAGAUUUAGCCCAAUCAACAAAUGUCUGUGACAACUCUUCUGAAUCUUCCAGCUAUCUUUUUGGAAAUGACACCUCUGUCUUACCUAGCUCAAGGAACUUUUUGCCAACACCAGAGAGUAGAUCAAGGCCCCCAUCAGCUACAUCAGACCAUACCAAACACACAACACUAUCCUCUUAUCUCCAACCUGAGCCUUCCAUUACUCUUGGAAAGGCAGAAAAUCAGAGUUUAUCCAUAAUCUGUGAUGGAGUUAGUCAUCCUUUCUCUAACCCAAUAGACUGUUUUGAUUGUUUUGAUGACCAUGCUGACCCAACAACCUUGAAAAGCCUUGCAUUUGUCCCAGAUGAAUGUAAAGGCAGUGGACCACCAGUUCAGAUACUGCAAGAUUCAACCUCUAAAACCUCAGAUUCUGGAUCGUCAACAAUAAAAAUUGCGAAAAGUCAACAAAAUGUCACUGACAACACAACUGAUUUAACCUCCCCGUGUGCAUGGGAUGCAUCUCUGCCGAAGCCAGUGCCAUCUGUAGAGAAGAAACAAUGCCAUGUUGAGGUUUUUGAUAGGAACAAGGGAACAGAAAUGUUAAAAAAUGAUUCCCCAAGCAGUGACAAGAUGCUUAGUCAAGUGCCUGUAGCAUUAAGAGAAAGGCCAGAGGUUAUCAGUAGGGACAAUGGUGGUGAAUUUGACAGGCAACCAUGCAGGGAAAAAGAGGAGAGUGGAAAGAAGGAGGGAGAGGGGGAGGAGACUAUUGGAGAGAGUAGUUACAGAGGGGAACAGGUUGAGCUGUCAUUCAGUGCCAGGAAUAGAAAAGGGCCUGCAGGCCACAGCCCAGCUCUCUCAAGUCGAGACCCAAAGUCGGGAAUUCCAGCUCGCUGUUAUUUUGAGUCGCACCCAACAACUUUGCAGCAACAGAGUCAGCUCAGAGCUCAGGGCUCACAACAAGAGAACAAGGGUGGCGCCAGGAGGCUCCAGUCAGCUGCCCAGGGUAAAUACAGCAGUGCAGGCUUUCUUCCUCCUGAAUGUACUGGUGAGACCUCCAACAUGGGAAGUGAAUUUGAUGAAGCAGACAAUGAAGUAAAGUGGUUUACAGAUCUGGCCUUCAGAAGCCUAUCUAGUCCUCAGGUGGAUUAUUUGGAUGUGUACAAUUCAAGCCACAGGUCCUCUACAAAUGUUUCACAGCCAUCGACUGUAGACAGCCCUGGAGCUGUUGCAUGGAUGACCUACGCAGAUUUACGUGGCUCAGCUUUACAUGAACAUGAUGGUUCGUCUUUUUUAUCCCGUGAUGUCCUGGACCCAAACAAACGCUUUGAAAUGGGGAGUUUUGAGUGUGUGGAUGUUGCAUUAGAGAGCAAGGAAGAAUCCAGUAGAGGAAAGAGGACAGUACCUAAAAGGCAGAUCCAGCUGUUAAGGCGGAACACAGAUGAAUCAAAGCAUAAAGGAAACAAUGAAAAUAUUUUGAAUUCACCCUCCACAUAUAGACACUCAAAAGACGCACUUGUUCGUCAACAUAGCACCCCAGCUAUUGUGCAAGAGGAAGUUUCCAAGGAGGUGCCAAAUUCACCACAAAAUGACAGGAAAAAGACCUUGCAGAAGUCUGUGUCUUUAGAUGAUGGCUCCCCUAAGACACAAAUGGCAUCUUGCAUUAUCAAGAGUGUAUUGUCAAAGAAAAUGCAUGAUGUGCAGAAAGAGACACCAAAAAGUACAGACCCAAGUCCUUCUGGAGAUAAAAAUAAACAUCUUGAUGUCAGCCCCAGCUCUUUUGAUGGUGUACCAAGUACCAUGGAGAAACAUAGUUUAAGCUCUAGCCAGCAUUCUGAAUGUACUCUUUCAUCUGAAGAUUUUGCUGCGGGAGAGGAGAGAAUUUCACAUCGUCAGCCGAAGAAGUGUGCUCCAAAGGUUCCACCAAAGCCAUUCUUAAGACCUGCAUUCUUUAACAAUGGGGAAGCUCAGGUAGCUGGCAACAUUGCAAGGGAAGAAACCAAGCCUAUAGUGGCUCCUCCACAAGUUGAUGACAAAAUACAAAACAGCAAGAGUGAUAGGAAAGAGGGAGGAGGUAGCAACCUUGAAGAGAAGUACAAUUGUGACUCAGCAAAUGCCAGUAUCAGUAACACAAGUCCUGUUGUUGCUACACCAGCAAUAAGCAUGCAGAACAGAAUGACAACCAGAGACAUAAAAAAGCGCCAGAUGACACCGGAAAACCAGGAACAACUGGCUGGAAAGAGUGUAUUUAUGUCGAAAACCCCAGAGAUAACUUUGAAACCUUCUUCUAUCAAAGGAAAAAAGACAUCUUCUCUGAAAGUGUCUUUGUCCCCUGACUUGGAACAGUCCAGAGAAAUAUCUAAAUCUCAGGCAAUAGAGAAAGCUGCAGAAGAUAUAAGCACCAAAUCUACUAAAGUCAUAGAGACAGAAGAUGACGAUGACAGCAACAAAAAAUCUGUUAUACAUAGAGUUAGGGAUGUGAGGAAGUUAGUGAAAAACACAUACAACCUGUCUUUCAAAGCAUCAAAUUCAACCUCUACUGCAGAAGAGACAGUUAUUCAAGGGGAAAGAGAGAAGCCGCCGCAAACUCCUCCAGCCUUACACAUUGAAUGUAAAGCUAUCAGUUGGAAGGACAAACAAACAUCAGGCAGCAAAGCAAUCCACUGUCAUGAUGAAAAACUGCCUGUUGACAUAUCAAAAAUAUCACAACCAUGGGUGAGCGCAGAGACAAAAAGAGAUGCUGACAUCACUGAAAUAACAUCCAAAGGCUCAAAACAAAACAAAGAGUCAAAACAAAAAGCACCAUAUUCUCACUCUACGACCACAGAUGGAUUACCUGAAUCAGAAGGUAUCAAUAAAAGAUCUUCCAUUCACUGUGAUCAGAGUUCUAAGAUGCCCCCUAGACCCCCAAGUAAGGACCGAGAAGUUUCUGCAUUGGUGGUUCUACCAGAUUGCACAUCCAAGACAAAGUCUGUUUCCCCUACAAUCCUUGACUCUACUCAAAUGAAAGCUGCAACCAGCAGCCACUCUGUAUCCAUGCUACUGAAAGAAAAAGGGAUGCAAGCUGACAUUGGAGUGUGUGAUGUUCUCACUGAAGGUGCAAGUGCUACAGCUAAACAUGUCAACAGGCUUGAGGUACCUGUACAGGCAUGUUCAUCAGAAAGCAUUUCAAGUGAAGUACAAGUAAAGGCAGAAAAUACAUCAUUGCCUUGCAAUCCAACAGCAUUUGUCAAUGAUUCAUCAAGAAUAUCUCAACCAAGUGAGAGUCCCAAGGGAAUACUGACAGAAGAAUCUUUAACAAAGGAACAAGAAAAAAAGAAAACUACCACUACAACACAAAUUCCAACCUAUUUAGCAACAUCUGGCAAGCCAGAGGUGAGGUCUUUUUCAAGCAGUACAAAAAAUAAUGCCACACCAGUGAAUGCAUCAAAAGAGAUUGAGUUACCCAUACAAGUGAGAUCAAUAUCCACUGAUAGACUAAAGCCAUUUGUAACACCAAAACCCAGCUAUAAACAGUCAUUUGCAGAAGUUAAGUCAGUGUCAAGUGACCCAUCAAAAGCAGAUACUCAAGCAUUGUCUGUUAUUAAACAGCAAACAAUAUUAAGUAGUGAAUCAAAGAAAAAUGAAACCCCAUCAACAGUGACACACAAGGAUCAACCAAACGAGACUUCAUCAACAGAUACAAAAAGACUGGCUGUAUCAGCUGUAUCAAGCUGCAAACCACCAUCCAUCCCAGUCACAGCAACUCCAAGUGUUGUGCAAAAAUCCACCACAAAGACACUGUCCAGUCUGGAUCAACAGCAAUCUACUGCUUUCUUGCAACCAGCAACCAGCACUUACCAGCAGCAAACCCCAUCAUUCAGUCAAGACCAGUCAAUUCUAGAUGGUUCCAUUGCUUUUAACUCAUCAGGACCACAAGCCCUUAACCACACACCAUCUGUGACAAGAGCAUCAUCUAAUAAUCGUUUUCACACAGAUGACUAUCUUUUCUACGCUUCAGAUGAUCCUCCCAGCUAUGAUGAGCGGGAGAGUUUCAGCCCGCUACGGCUCUCAGACUUACCCCCACAUAGGUCACGUAGGUCUUCUUGCUCCUGCAUGCCAAGUUCUCAUUCGCAUCAAGGACAUCCCAACAACAGUCCACAGGAACGGGUACCAGCAGCCUCUCGGUCUCCAGGCCAAGUCCUUACCUGUCCUGGUGCUCCUCCGCAAGCUCAAGUUCGUCCUCAUCAGUGCAGACCAGAUGGUCUACCAGUCUCCAAUAUCACAAUACCUCAUGCCUCAGCUUUGAUUCAGCCUCUACACAAUCCACGAGCUUGUCCAGUUUCAAACUCACAAUCCUAUGGUGAUGACCAUCCUCCAGCUUCUGGGCUGCAUGCAGAUAGACGGCCAGCCAAUCACCCUUCACCUCAGGCAGCAGCUCCUGCUCCCUAUCAUGAGUAUUCUCAUUCAGCAAACAUGUCUACUCUGGAUCCCCGGCCUCAGUUGUUUAAUCCUCAAGAUUUGACUCCAUCUUUUGGCCACGAUUACACAAAUGAAGGUCCAGGUGGAGCUGGUGUAUUGUAUCCAGAGAAUGCAAGUGGGCUCAGCUGUGGCCAAGGUGCCCGUCGUGUUCUUCUUGAUCCUGAGACUGGUAAAUACUUCUACAUUGAGGUACCAAUGCAACCACUCAGAAAAAUGCUGUUUGAUCCUGAAUUGGGCCAGUAUGUAGAAGUUCUCAUACCACAUCAGGCAAUGUCCCAUUCAGGGCUAUAUCCACCAGCUGCACCACCCUACUCCUCUUUGCACAGUCCUGGGUUGUAUGCACCACAGUACCUGCCUUACGCAGUGCCAUCUUACCCAGCAAUCUCAGGUACUGCCCCGCAAAUUCGCCAUCCAGAGCCACCUCCUGUGCCCACCACACUUCACCAGACUUCCUUAAGGUAUGGAAGCCCUGCAAGCCAGAUGCCAAAAAAUGAACCAAAAGGCCAUUCUUCACUGGAUCAAAGCUAUCUAGAGAGCAUGUAUUACAUCCCCACUGGGAUGAAUGCAAGCCCAAAUGCAACCCCUUCAGAAUGCUACCACAAGCCAUCAAGCAUGCCUCCUUCAGGGGGACGAAGAGCAUGA